Molecule: ribosomal RNA, 618 nt
Filed under: Cutaneotrichosporon mucoides
Lineage: Eukaryota; Fungi; Basidiomycota; Tremellomycetes; Trichosporonales; Trichosporonaceae
Description: eukaryotic LSU rRNA
Rfam family: Eukaryotic large subunit ribosomal RNA
Source: RNAcentral
AUAUCAAUAAGCGGAGGAAAAGAAACUAACAAGGAUUCCCUUAGUAACGGCGAGUGAACCGGGAAAAGCUCAAAUUUGUAAUCUGGCUGUCUUCGAUAGUCCGAGUUGUAAUCUAUAGACGUGUUUUCCGUGCUGGACCGUAUCUAAGUCCCUUGGAACAGGGUAUCAAAGAGGGUGACAAUCCCGUGCUUGAUACGACCACCAGUGCUCUGUGAUACACGCUCUACGAGUCGAGUUGUUUGGGAAUGCAGCUCAAAAUGGGUGGUAAAUUCCAUCUAAAGCUAAAUAUUGGCGAGAGACCGAUAGCGAACAAGUACCGUGAGGGAAAGAUGAAAAGCACUUUGGAAAGAGAGUUAAACAGUACGUGAAAUUGUUGAAAGGGAAACGAUUGAAGUCAGUCGUGUUCUUUGGAUUCAGCUAGUUCUUCUAGUCUACUUCCAUUGAACGGGUCAACAUCAGUUUUGUCCGGUGGAUAAAGAUAGUAGGAAUGUAGCUCCCUCGGGAGUGUUAUAGACUAUUAUUGCAUACACUGGGUGAGACUGAGGACUGCAGCUCGCCUUUUGGCCGGUCUUCGGACACGUUCGAGCUUAGGAUGUUGACAUAAUGGCUUUAAACGAC